GGCGGGACCAGGACAGAGGUGUCCCUGUCUCUGCCUGCUGCCGUUCGCGCAGCUCUCGCCAGCCGCUGGCGCCGUUGAUGCCACCACCCGUGUCCCUACACCGGGAAACAGCGCGAAAAAUCGCUCUGAGGGCGUUGUGUCGGCGUAGGAGUCGGGUGGGGAUUUCAGGCAGCCGACAAAACAGACGCCCUUGUGAGGAGAAACGGGCCUUUAAUCGUACCACAGCCAACAUGGCGGUUUAGCCGGAGAUGGCUUCCGCCAGCACCCAAGAUGGCGGCGAUGGGCGGGAGUCACGCGGUGCCACACCAAAGAUGGCGGUUCGUCACGCUGCUGAGUGCACUUCCAAAUAUGGCGGCAUCGUGCGCAUGCGCCUUGACAAGAAGGGACCUACAUCGAGAUAGCAGCCACAGGACACCUGAAUCUUUCAGAGAAAAAGUAUUGCCCUUUUAUCAGAAGAAACAAACUUCUUCCUGCCUUGCUCAGUCCUGAAGGUGCCAUUAGGAUUAUGAGGAAGAAGUUGACGAUGACCAGACAGAAUCCUGUGUUUGAAUGGAAUUUAUGCAUCAUGUAUGAGGUGUAUGAAUAUGCAACAGGCUGUUGUUUUUAAGGGUUAAUCCUCUGUUAACGUGGGUCCUUUUUCGGGCUUAUUUUGCACAGAAAUAGGUACCCGGACCCUCCGUAACUCUUUGUUCUUAUUGUCUCAUAUUGUCCUAAAUCCUAAUUGUCCAAAUUUGUAUUACUCUCAUUAUAUUACUAUUUUUAUAACCAUUUUAUUACUAUUAAAUUUUUUAAAUUCUAGAAACCAA
Long non-coding RNA from Melospiza melodia melodia, 806 nucleotides. RefSeq lists it as uncharacterized. Lineage: Eukaryota; Metazoa; Chordata; Aves; Passeriformes; Passerellidae. The transcript has 2 exons. The record is from RefSeq and is a predicted model, not a curated record.